RNAcentral lists this long non-coding RNA (244 nucleotides) under Lathyrus oleraceus (garden pea). Its description in RNAcentral is "Pisum sativum (pea) long non-coding RNA (PSAT_LNC012142)". The record is from RNAcentral. Lineage: Eukaryota; Viridiplantae; Streptophyta; Magnoliopsida; Fabales; Fabaceae.
UUGUGUUUGUCUGUGUAUAGUUAAUUGUGAACCAUUUGCUGUUUAGUUCUGUGAUUGGUAUACUGAUUGUAUUUGAUUGAUUUCAGGUACAUUAGUUGCUAAUAUUGCUUUGCUUUGCUUGAUAAGCAAUUUGCACUGAGGUAUAACAUUCUUGUCUCCAUGUAGUCUGGAAGACCUGGCCUGUUACUUGGCCAGGCACCUGUCUGAAGUCCUCCUUAAGAGGCGAUGUUUGUGCUUGUUUACU